AACGAACGCUGGCGGCAUGCCUAACACAUGCAAGUCGAACGAAGCCUUCGGGCUUAGUUGCGCACGCGUGCGUAACGCGUGGGAAUCUGCCCCUUGCUUCGGAAUAACAGUUAUUAAUGACUGCUAAUACCGGAUGAAUUCUUCUGAUCAAAGAUUUAUCGUCAAGGGGUGAGCCCGCGUAGGUUUAGGUAGUUGGGGUGGUAAAGGCCUACCAAGACGACGAUCCUUAGCUGGUGUGAGAGGAUGAUCAGCCACACUGUGAGUGAGACACGACCCAGACUCCUACGGGAGGCAGCAGUGGGGAAUAUUAGACAAUCGACGUAAGUGUAGUACAGCAAUGCCGCGUGAGUGAUGAAGGUCUUAGGAUUGUAAAGCCAUGUUAACAGGGAUGAUAAUGACAGUAACUGGAGAAUAAGGCACGGCCAACUUCGUG
RNAcentral lists this ribosomal RNA (433 nucleotides) under uncultured bacterium. RNAcentral's name for it is "partial 16S ribosomal RNA". It matches the Rfam family "Bacterial small subunit ribosomal RNA", at positions 29 to 507 of the family's 1533-position model. The record is from RNAcentral.